UUGACAUCCAGAGAAUUUAGCAGAGAUGCUUUAGUGCCUUCGGGAACUCUGAGACAGGUGCUGCAUGGCUGUCGUCAGCUCGUGUUGUGAAAUGUUGGGUUAAGUCCGCAACGAGCGCAACCCUUAUCCUUUGUGCCAGCACGUAAUGGUGGGAACCCAAAGGAGACUGCCGGUGAUAAACCGGAGGAAGGUGGGGAUGACGUCAAGUCAUCAUGGCCCUUACGAGUAGGGCUACACACGUGCUACAAUGGCGCAUACAAAGAGAAGCGACCUCGCGAGAGCAAGCGGACCUCAUAAAGUGCGUCGUAGUCCGGAUUGGAGUCUGCAACUCGACUCCAUGAAGUCGGAAUCGCUAGUAAUCGUAAAUCAGAAUGUUACGGUGAAUACGUUCCCGGGCCUUGUACACACCGCCCGUCACACCAUGGGAGUGGGUUGCAAAAGAAGUAGAUAGCUUAACCUUCGGGAGGGCGUUUACCACUUUGUGAUUCAUGACUGGGGUGAAGUCGUAACAAGGUAAGCGUAGUGCU
RNAcentral lists this ribosomal RNA (527 nucleotides) under uncultured bacterium. RNAcentral describes it as "bacterial SSU rRNA". It matches the Rfam family "Bacterial small subunit ribosomal RNA", at positions 981 to 1509 of the family's 1533-position model. The record is from RNAcentral.